RNAcentral lists this long non-coding RNA (209 nucleotides) under Elaeis guineensis (African oil palm). RNAcentral's name for it is "long non-coding RNA (EGUI_LNC036835)". The record is from RNAcentral. Lineage: Eukaryota; Viridiplantae; Streptophyta; Magnoliopsida; Arecales; Arecaceae.
UAAGCGAUCUUUUCAUUCAUAAUCAUAAGGGUUAGUCAAAAUUAUGAAGAUAACUUAUACUGCAGUCACCAUAGAUCUAUAUCCUAAUGUCCUAAAUAUCUAUCCAUCUAUACUCAUCCUGUAUCUGAUUCUACAUGUCAUAAUUUAUCCACUUAUGCUCUGAUACCAUAUAAAUUACUCUGAUAUCAUAUAAAUUAUCAUGCUUUCGA